AUGGAGAGUCUCAGCAUAUUUCUUGGUUAAAUUGAACCUCUUUGGGACAUUGUUGUAAUUAAUAUCUUUUCAUCAUAUUAAUCUUCCUUAUUACUUCUGGAGAGCCAGCCUUUAUUGGAAGAUAAAAUUUUAAGAAAAACAAAAGGAGGAAUAAGAAAUUCAGUAAAACUAAUGAAAACAUUGUUGAAAACUGAGGUUAUUUACAGUAUUUUAUAUUCAUGGACCACAUGUACCUACAAAAGAACCAGGCAUCAGACCUCUAAUAGGGCAGAUCUCAAAUACUUCAUCCCCUUUCAAGAUAUAAAGCAUCAUCAUCUUCAUCAUGAAUAUUCAGAUCUCUAUGAUGCCAGGAUUUAUGCUCAGGUGUCUGUAUUUAUACAGAAGUGGCAUGAAACAGUUGACUUUCAGGAAAUGGCCCAAGCAUUGACGCUUAUCAAAUUCAGGAAAGAGGUGUACUACACCAGACAUGUAAUACCCUUCCUUGUUGUUAAAAGGAAGAGAAAGGAACAAUUCUGGUAA
Long non-coding RNA from Monodelphis domestica (gray short-tailed opossum), 519 nucleotides. NCBI's taxonomy places the organism in Eukaryota, Metazoa, Chordata, Mammalia, Didelphimorphia, Didelphidae. The record is from Ensembl.